AGUUCGAUUAUGGCUCAAGGGUGAACGCUGGCGGGAUGCUUUACACAUGCAAGUCGAACGGCAGCACGGACUUCGGUCUGGUGGCGAGUGGCGAACGGGUGAGUAAUGUAUCGGAACAUGCCCUAGUAGCGGGGGAUAACUACGCGAAAGCGUAGCUAAUACCGCAUACGCCCUUCGGGGGAAAGCGGGGGACCUUCGGGCCUCGCACUAUUAGAGCGGCCGAUAUCGGAUUGGCUAGUUGGUGGGGUAACGGCUCACCGGGCGACGAUCCGUAGCUGGUUUGAGAGGACGACCAGCCACACUGGGACUGAGACACGGCCCAGACUCCUACGGGAGGCAGCAGUGAAAUUUUGGACAAUGGGGAAACCCUGAUCAGCCAUCCCGCGUGUGCGAUGAAGGCCUUCGGGUUGUAAAGCACUUUUGGCAGGAAAGAAACGGCACGGGAUAAUACCCCGUGCAACUGGCGGUACCUGCAGAAUGGCACCGGCUAACUACGUGCCAGCAGCCGCGGUAAUACGUAGGGUGCAAGCGUUAAUCGGAAUUACUGGGCGUAAAGCGUGCGCAGGCGGUUCGGAAAGAAAGAUGUAGAAAUCCAGAGAGCUUAACUUUGGAACUGCAUUUUUAACUACCGAGCUAGAGUGUGUCAGAGGGGAGGUGGAAUUCCCGCGUGUAGCAGUGAAAUGCGUAGAUAUGCGGAGGAACACCGAUAGCGAAGGCAGCCUCCUGGAACACUGGCGCUCAUGCACGAAAGCGUGGGAGCAAACAGGAUUAGAUACCCUGGUAGUCCACGCCCUAAACGAUGUCAACUAGCUGUUGGGGCCUUCGGGCCUUGGUAGCGCAGCUAACGCGUGAAGUUGACCGCCUGGGAAGUACGGUCGCAAGAUUAAAACUCAAAGGAAUUGACGGGGACCCGCACAAGCGGUGGAUGAUGUGGAUUAAUUCGAUGCAACGCGAAAAACCUUACCUACCCUUGACAUGUCUGGAAUCCCGAAGAGAUUUGGGAGUGCUCGCAAGAGAACCGGAACACAGGUGCAUGGCUGUCGUCAGCUCGUGUCGUGAGAUGUUGGGUUAAGUCCCGCAACGAGCGCAACCCUUGUCAUUAGUUGCUACGAAGGGCACUCUAAUGAGACUGCCGGUGACAAACCGGAGGAAGAUUGGGGAUGACGUCAAGUCCUCAUGGCCCUUAUGGGUAGGGCUUCACACGUCAUACAAUGGUCGGGACAGAGGGUCGCCAACCCGCGAGGGGAGCCAAUCCCAGAAACCCGAUCGUAGUCCGGAUCGCAGUCUGCAACUCGACUGCGUGAAGUCGGAAUCGCUAGUAAUCGCGGAUCAGCAUGUCGCAGUGAAUACGUUCCCGGGUCUUGUACACACCGCCCGUCACACCAUGGGAGUGGGUUUUACCAGAAGUAGUUAGCCUAACCGUAAGGAGGGCGAUUACCACGGUAGGAUUCAUGACUGGGGGUGAAGUCGCGUAACAAGGUAA
Molecule: ribosomal RNA, 1483 nt
Filed under: uncultured Bordetella sp.
Lineage: Bacteria; Pseudomonadati; Pseudomonadota; Betaproteobacteria; Burkholderiales; Alcaligenaceae
Description: partial 16S-23S ribosomal RNA intergenic spacer
Rfam family: Bacterial small subunit ribosomal RNA
Source: RNAcentral